GUACAAUUUCUUUUCUAAUAAAAAAGUAUGAAGAAAUUUAAAAAUAUGUGAGUUUUUUUCUACUUUCUCAUUUGUAAAUAAGAAUAUGUUCACUUUACAAUUAGAAAAAAAAACUUUUCAUAGAAGGUCAGACAUUUUAAACAUACAAUUAUGCUGACAUCUGAUUUUCUGAACAUAAUUCUUGGAAGCUACAUCUGGCACUGCUUUUAUUAAGGUGGUACUGUAAGACAGACUAACCCCAGUCUGUCAUUCCAUGGUCAGAGGUAAAGAUAAAUGCUGUUUUCCCAUCAUCUCCAUAAAAAUGCUUGAAAAUUGAUACGAUUUCCUUCACUCCAUCAUCAACUUUUUUAAUAUUGUCCUUAUAUUCCCUGUUUACAAAAAAAACAAAAAACAAGUUAAAUUAAUGUAGAGAAAUAAAAUGUAUUCAACUGAGACUCAUUACAUUUAAAGUAAAAAACUGAAAAAAAUGCUUUCAGAUUUAACCUUUACUACUUUAAAUCAGAGCUUAUAAGACUAAUUUUUUGUUUAAUAAAUUUUAAAAAUUGGAAAUAGUUUUCAUAGACAUUUUAAAAGAAAAGUAUUGAUUACUAGAUACAUUAAAUGAAUACUUUAAAAAUUCUAAACAGGAUAAUAAAGACUUUCAAGUUUGUGCAUCUAAUAAACUACAUUGUUCUGGUGACCUUAAUAGGAAAGUCAUUAUUUAAAGUACAGCGUUUCCCACUCUAUAAAGUACUUGUGAUUUCUAUCUACUACACUGUUGAGAACAAACUGAACUCAUGCUUCCCAUAUAGUUACAAAGUCAGCUUAAUAUGAAUGAAUAUAUUCCACUAAUGAAAGCACUGCAUCACGUUAAACUAGGGGAAUAUGAGAUAUCUAUGCUUGUAAUUAAACCAGCAGACAGUAGAAUUAAUAUAAAACCAACUCAAGAUAAAGAAUAAAAGUUCAAAUGAUUUCCUCUUCCUUAUGGUCUGCAAAUCUGAGACUACCACUGAAGAACUAAUAAACAGCACUUUAUGCAAUUGUUUGCUGGAUACAAUGCUGUUAAAUAAACACCCAAAGGCAUUACAUCUGUAAUAAAAUCCAUACCAUAAAAUGUUUGUGCUUUUGAGAUUUACCGGAAACACUCCUAAAAAUGUGGGUCCUUUAGAUACUUUUCUCUGCCUUGAUAAAUGAAUACAGACUAUAUGCAAACUCUAUCUCGCUUAUUUUAACGUGCAGCAUAGCCAAAGCACAGAUCAUUUUAAACAGUAUAAAAUUACACAUCAUAUAACUGAAAACAUUAUAAAGGAUAGUAGUACAUGAAGUAUUAGUUUUGUUGUCAUCAUUACAAAGAAAAUUCCAAACUAUACCAACAUUUUAAACAAAAUAGCUAUUCCCCACAAGAUCAAACAGAACACACGAUUCUGAUUACCUUGACGAUGGUCGAUGAGCAUGUCCAUUUGUAUCUAUUCCCAAUAAAUGUAAGAAAAAAACUACUUUUUCUUCAUUUACUUUUGUGAACAAAGAUUGGUUGUUUCUUGCAGCAUCAAAGAAGUCCUACAUGUAACAAAUCAGGUGAAAACUAAUUUAUUUAAAUUUAUAAAUAAUUGUAACUUUUAAAGAAAGAUUUAUUUAUUUUAUGUAUGAGAGUACACUGUUUAUCCUUUCAGACCCACCAGGAGAGGGCAUUGCAUCCCAUUACAGAUAGUUGUGAGUCACCAUGUGGUUGCUGGGAAUCCUUGAACUCAGGACCCCUGGAAGAGCAGUCUGUGCUUUU
This 1756-nucleotide long non-coding RNA is filed under the name Mus musculus (house mouse). Its description in RNAcentral is "long non-coding RNA chr1:105647871-105649627". The record is from RNAcentral. Lineage: Eukaryota; Metazoa; Chordata; Mammalia; Rodentia; Muridae.